AUAGUGAGAACCUCUAUAGCCCUAUAGAGCUUUUUAUGCUAAGACUAGUAACAAGAGGUAGCCCACUCUCCUAAAUGCAAAUUUAAUCCAGCAAGAACCAAUCACUGGUAUUUAACGGAACAGGCAAGUUAGAAACUCAUACUAGAAAACCCUAGCAACCCCCCCCCCGUUAACCUAACACUAGAGCAUUACUGGAAAGAUUAAAAGAAAAAGAAGGAACUCGGCAAACAAUGGCCUCGCCUGUUUACCAAAAACAUCGCCUCUUGUUACCCCUAAGAGGUCCCGCCUGCCCAGUGACUCUGUUCAACGGCCGCGGUAUCCUAACCGUGCAAAGGUAGCGUAAUCACUUGUCUUUUAAAUAAAGACUAGUAUGAAAGGCGCCACGAGGGCUAAGCUGUCUCCUUUUUCUAAUCAGUGAAUCUGAUCCCCCUGUGAAGAAGCAGGGAUAUUCGUAUAAGACGAGAAGACCCUAUGGAGCUUAAAACACCACAACACCUGCUGACUUUUAGAGUACUAGACUCAUCACCCACACAGCACACUGAUUGUGAGUUUUUGGUUGGGGUGACCGCGGAGAAUAACUAAUCCUCCACAGCGAAUGGGGAUUUCCUUAAACAAUAAGUUACAACUUUAUGUAUCAAUAAAUUGACACCCAUUGACCCAAUACACUUGAUCAACGAACCAAGUUACCCUAGGGAUAACAGCGCAAUCCACUUUAAGAGCUCCUAUCGACAAGUGGGCUUACGACCUCGAUGUUGGAUCGGGAUAUCCUAGUGGUGUAGUCGCUACU
This 787-nucleotide ribosomal RNA is filed under the name Pristimantis acuminatus (Canelos robber frog). Its description in RNAcentral is "partial large subunit ribosomal RNA". It matches the Rfam family "Bacterial large subunit ribosomal RNA", at positions 1260 to 2566 of the family's 2925-position model. The record is from RNAcentral. Lineage: Eukaryota; Metazoa; Chordata; Amphibia; Anura; Strabomantidae.